Molecule: ribosomal RNA, 740 nt
Filed under: uncultured bacterium
Lineage: Bacteria
Description: bacterial SSU rRNA
Rfam family: Bacterial small subunit ribosomal RNA
Source: RNAcentral
AGAGUUUGAUCAUGGCUCAGAACGAACGCUGGCGGCAGGCUUAACACAUGCAAGUCGAGCGCUCAGCAAUGAGAGCGGCGCACGGGUGAGUAACACGUGGGAACGUGCCCUUUGGUUCGGAAUAACUCAGGGAAACUUGAGCUAAUACCGGAUAAGCCCUUACGGGGAAAGAUUUAUCGCCAUUGGAGCGGCCCGCGUCCGAUUAGCUAGUUGGUGAGGUAAAGGCUCACCAAGGCAACGAUCGGUAGCUGGUCUGAGAGGACGACCAGCCACACUGGGACUGAGACACGGCCCAGACUCCUACGGGAGGCAGCAGUGGGGAAUCUUGGACAAUGGGGGAAACCCUGAUCCAGCCAUGCCGCGUGAGUGAUGAAGGCCCUAGGGUUGUAAAACUCUUUCGGCGGGGACGAUAAUGACGGUACCCGCAGAAGAAGCUCCGGCUAACUUCGUGCCAGCAGCCGCGGUAAUACGAAGGGGGCUAGCGUUGUUCGGAAUUACUGGGCGUAAAGCGCGCGCAGGCGGUUCUUCAAGUCAGAGGUGAAAGCCCAGAGCUCAACUCUGGAAUGGCCUUUGAGACUAGAGAACUUGGGUACGGGAGAGGUGAGUGGAAUUCCGAGUGUAGAGGUGAAAUUCGUAGAUAUCUGCAGGAACACCCGUGGCGAAAGCGGCGAGCUGGAUCACUACUGACGCUGAGGAACGAAAGCUAGGGGAGCAAACAGGAUUAGAUACCCUAGUAGUCC